This 1574-nucleotide long non-coding RNA is filed under the name Homo sapiens (human). Its description in RNAcentral is "KDM4A antisense RNA 1 (KDM4A-AS1)". Lineage: Eukaryota; Metazoa; Chordata; Mammalia; Primates; Hominidae. The record is from RNAcentral.
GAGGUUCGCGCUGGUGGAGCACCCCAGCUUGCAGGUUCAGCGUGGGUGUCUCUCCCGGGCACAUCGAGCUGUCUAGAGGAACCCUCUUCCCCUGGCUUCACGGCCCAGAGGACGCACGGCUCUCUCCCCUCGAGAGCGUGUUUCGUCGCCCGCGCGGGGAACGCAAAGUGCUAGGGUAGUCACGGCCACUUCACGCCGAGGGACAUCUCAUCUCGCCCUCCAGGUCGUGAGCGCACCCAUUCCGCUCACUGAGGCCGAAAGCUUCGGACCUCCGUGGGCCCUGAGACUUCAGCGUUCCAUGUCUGCUGUGCUGUGGAACCCAGAGUGCUCUUGCCUGGAUGGCUGAGAAUCCCUUGGACCCUGGAAGCACCUACUCCAUGAUGGCCCGCAGGAGGACCAAACUGGAGACAGUCCUGGCUCUGAGGAAACAGGAAGGAAGGAGGGUGAAAGGAACGUCCACCUGCACACAAAGGAAAGAUGAAAAAGAGUCACCUACCAUGGGACCUGGCAAAGUACUUCAGAACUUUUAUUCCUUCCAGAAGCAGAUUCCACACUGCAACUAACUUUUAAGAACCUGCCAGGAGCAGUGGCUCACACCUGUAAUCCCAGCACUUUGGGAGGUUGAGGCAAAAGAAAUCGCUUGAGCCCAGGAGUUUGAGACUACCUGGGCAAGAUGGCAAGACCCCAUUUCUACAAAUAGCCAUGCAUGCCUGUAGUCCCAGCUACUCGGGAGGUGCUUGGUCAACAAAGCAAGACAUCAUCUCUUAAAACAAACAAACAAACAAAAAAAGUUGUUACUUCCAUUGAGUUUUGGUGGAUAUCAGAGAAUAAUAAACACAAUUACCUGAAAGACUAUUAAAAUACCUCCCUUGGCUGGGAGUGGUGGCUCACAGAUGUAAUCCCAGCACUUUGGGAGGCCGAGGUAGGCGGAUUGCUUGAGCCCAGUUUUGAGACCAGCCUGGGCAACAAGGCAAAACUCCAUCUCUACAAAAAAUUAAAAAAUUAGCUGGGCGCCAGUGACAAGGGCCUGUAGUCCCAGCUACUUGGGAGGCUGAGGCAGCAGAAUCACUUGAGCCUGGUAUGUGGAGGUUGCAGUGAGUUGAGAUCACUGCACUGCACUCCAACGUGGGUGACUGGAGUGAAACCCUAUUUUAAAAAAACAAAAACAAACUCCUUUUUCCAAUUACAUAUCUACGCAAGGCUGAAUUUUCUUCCUAUACUUGAACCUAAACAGUGUAUCACAAUAGAUUGAAUCAAGAAGUGACAUUAAGGCCAGCGCGGUGGCUCACGCCUGUAAUCCCACCACUUUGGGAGGCCGAGGCGGGCGGAUCACGAGAUCAGGAGAUCAAGACCAUCCUGGCUAACAUGGUGAAACCCCAUGUCUACUAAAAAUACAAAAAAUUAGCCGGGCAUGGUGGCGGGCGCCUGUAGUCCCAGCUACUCGGGAGGCUGAGGCAGGAGAAUGGCGUGAACCUGGGAGGUGAAGCCUGCAGUGAGCCAAGAUCAUGCCACCGUACUCCCGUACUCCAGCCUGGGCAACAGAGCAAGACUCCAUCUCAAAAAAAAAAAAAAAA